CUUCUCUGCCUCUCUCUCUCUGUUUCUCUCUCUCUCUCUGUUUCUCUCUCUCUGUUUCUCUCUCUCUCUCUGUUUCUCUCUCUCUCUCUGUUUCUCUCUCUCUCUCACUCUCUCUCAUUCUCUCUCUGUCCCACAUGAGAAGACAGUGGGAAGAUAGCCACCUAUGGAGUGGAGGAGUACCCUCACCAAAACUGAUCUCAGAUGAGACUGGAACCCUGAUCUCAAACUGCCAUCAUCCAGAGCUAUGAGAAAUGUUUGCUGUCGAAGUCACCUCGUCUAGGGUAAUGUGUUAUAACAACCCAAGCUGAUGAAGAAAGCCACUGUCUGAUUAGAUGGGUCUCUCCUAAGGAAUUGGUUUCUUGUUAGUCUAUCUUGGAAGUAGCGAAGAAUUUCUGCUCUGGGGCCUCUCUUUCAACUGAGGACACACAUCAAGACACAGCUGUUGCACCAGAAGCUGUAAUUCUGCAGGCCUGCCAACUGGCACAUUCCAUCAUAUAACAAGAAUUCUUGGGAUGUGGAAUCCAAAACACUGGCCAGAGACAUAGCUUAAUAUCACUACAGUGGUGUGGGAUGGAGUAAAUAUUAGUACUUGUUUUAUUUUUUCUGCUUCUGAGCCCACCGAAGUGUACUGCAAUCCAUCAAGACAGAAAAUCCUGCAUUUUGUGGUCCAGAGUAUUUGGAACUGAUUUAGCUGUACCUGGAUCCAAGUUGAUUUGCCUUCAAUCUCCCAGACUUAACUGUUGAAGUCUAUAGCACAUUAAGCAUUUAGGUCUACAGAGUCACAGCCAUUCACUGACCCGGCUCUAAUUUUCACUUGGAGUUAGUACUUUUUGAUUUGGGAUUUGUGAAAAGGCAAAAAUAUUUGUCAGACACCCACUGCCAGGAAUGCUGAUUUUAAUUUCGUGACUUCUACUGCAGAAAAAAAAAAAAAGUUAAUUUUCCCACUUGGAGUUUUUAUCCAUGGAUAUCAGGCUACAAUAUUUCCCCCAGAGUUAUCUUUCCUGCUUCCUUCUUUUGGCAAAACUUACAUGGAGGUGAGUUUCCUCAAUGUGGGCAGAAGGUUAAAGCAAUAAGAACUUGCGGUUGCUGGCCUUCCUUGUAGCCUGGUUUCUGAAUGCAUUUAGGUUGAUGUGGCAUCGUAACACUCUCUAGGGCUUACAGGAAAACUUCGUUCUGUUCCGGAAGCUGCUGUGAGCCAGCGGCUAUGAACUUGUGGCCCAGCCACAGGGAAUCAGGAACUUCUGAGUUAGAGCCCAGACGCCACUGAGCCUCACUGAGUGACCUCAAGCAAGUUACUUAACAUUUGCCUGCUCCUCAUUUUCCAGCUGUAAAAUGGGGAAAAAAAAUAUAUUUGCUCAUUCAAGUUAAGCAGUUUGCAAGUUGUUCCUACCGUACUGUGGGUUAAUUUUUAUGCAUGUUUUUGGUUUUCAUUUUUUGCUUUGUUUUUUCAUAACAAAUUUAAAAGGGGAAAGGGGGUGUAAUUUUAUUUUUUAAAAGAUGACACAUAAAAAUUGCCACAAUUCGAACUGAACUUAAAAGAUGUCAAGUAUAUCAAAAUAUAAAUGUAUAACCUUUUUUGAGCUGUGCUGUAACACUCAUUAGAUAUUCCCUGCCAAUUAUAGUGUGACUGCAAUGAAGAUGAAGUUUUUUUCAUGUUUUCUCUCUACUGUGGCCCCAGAAUUUAGAACAGAGCCUGCCAUACA
This 1703-nucleotide long non-coding RNA is filed under the name Homo sapiens (human). RNAcentral describes it as "non-protein coding lnc-USP16-17:5". Lineage: Eukaryota; Metazoa; Chordata; Mammalia; Primates; Hominidae. The record is from RNAcentral.